This is a non-coding RNA of Phoenix dactylifera (date palm), 416 nucleotides long. Lineage: Eukaryota; Viridiplantae; Streptophyta; Magnoliopsida; Arecales; Arecaceae. The record is from RefSeq and is a predicted model, not a curated record.
GUGGAAGAGUUUUGGAAAAAGUUGAAAGUGUUGUUCUUGAUCAGAAAUCGUUGGCAUAGGCACAUCGCUAUGUCUUACUUUAUAGUGAUAUAAUAUCCGAGUCUCGCAGAGAAUUUUUAAUAGCUCAGCGAAGUCUCAACCAUAACAUUCGUCCUACACCAAGGAUUGAGCAACGAUGGUUGGUUGAAUUAUUUCCAGAAUGGCUUUUCAAACAGGUACCAGUGAUGAUGGAGAGGAAUUGUUCUGAGAAGUUAAUAGUCAUUGCUCGAGGUCCGAAUAAUAUUGUCAACAGAUAUGAUGGGUUCAUUAUAAAUGGUUUUAAAUUUCAUACUAAAGAGCGUGAGAAAUUUAGAAAAACCCAAAAUAGUGGAGUUAUGGUUGAAGCGGACGAAAAAAAUUGUUAUGGUGCUCUAACA